Molecule: ribosomal RNA, 927 nt
Filed under: uncultured Alphaproteobacteria bacterium
Lineage: Bacteria; Pseudomonadati; Pseudomonadota; Alphaproteobacteria
Description: SSU rRNA
Rfam family: Bacterial small subunit ribosomal RNA
Source: RNAcentral
AGUAACGCGUGGGAAUUUACCCGAUUGUAUGGAAUAACUGCGGGAAACUGCAGCUAAUACCGUAUAAGCCCUCCGGGGGAAAGAUUUAUCGCUAUCGGAUAAGCCCGCGUCGGAUUAGCUAGUUGGUAGGGUAAAAGCCUACCAAGGCAACAAUCCGUAGCUGGUCUGAGAGGACGAUCAGCCUCACUGGGACUGAGACACGGCCCAGACUCCUACGGGAGGCAGCAGUGGGGAAUAUUGGACAAUGGGCGCAAGCCUGAUCCAGCCAUGCCGCGUGAGUGAAGAAGGCCCUAGGGUUGUAAAGCUCUUUCAGCGGGGAAGAUGAUGACGGUACCCGCAGAAGAAGCCCCGGCCAACUCCGUGCCAGCAGCCGCGGUAAUACGGAGGGGGCUAGCGUUGUUCGGAAUUACUGGGCGUAAAGCGCACGUAGGUGGUUGGCGUAGUCAGGCGUGAAAUCCCGAGGCUCAACCUCGGAACUGCGCUUGAUACUGGCCGACUAGAGGUCGGGAGAGGGUAGUGGAAUUCCCAGUGUAGAGGUGAAAUUCGUAGAUAUUGGGAAGAACACCAGUGGCGAAGGCGGCUACCUGGACCGAUUCUGACACUGANGUGCGAAAGCGUGGGGAGCGAACAGGAUUANAUACCCUGGUAGUCCACGCCGUAAACGAUGAGUGCUAGAUGUCGGGGGACAUAGUCCUUCNGUAUCGCAGCUAACGCAUUAAGCACUCCGCCUGGGGAGUACGGCCGCAAGGUUAAAACUCNAAAGGAAUUGACGGGGGCCCGCACAAGCGGUGGAGCAUGUGGUUUAAUUCGACGCAACGCGAANAACCUUACCAGCCCUUGACAUCCUGGUCGCGGGGACGANAGAUCGANCCUUUCAGUUCGGCUGGACCAGUGACAGNUGCUGCAUGGCUGUCGUCAGCUCGUGUC